RNAcentral lists this ribosomal RNA (468 nucleotides) under uncultured bacterium. Its description in RNAcentral is "partial 16S ribosomal RNA". It matches the Rfam family "Bacterial small subunit ribosomal RNA", at positions 28 to 507 of the family's 1533-position model. The record is from RNAcentral.
GACGAACGCUGGCGGCGUGCUUAAUACAUGCAAGUCGAACGGAAAGGCCCUGCUUUUGUGGGGUGCUCGAGUGGCGAACGGGUGAGUAACACGUGAGUAACCUGCCCUUUCCUUUGGGAUAACUUCAGGAAACUGGGGCUAAUACCGGCUAGGAUCUCCUGCUGCAUGGUGGGGGUUGGAAAGUUUCGGCGGUUGGGGAUGGACUCGCGGCGUAUCAGCUUGUUGGUUGGGUAGUGGCUUACCAAGGCUUUGACGGGUAGCCGGGCUGAGAGGGUGACCGGCCACAUUGGGACUGGGAUACGGCCCAGACUCCUACGGGAGGCAGCAGUGGGGAAUAUUGCACAAUGGGCGGAAGCCUGAUGCAGCAAAGCCGCGUGCGGGAUGACGGCCUUCGGGUUGUAAACCGCUUUCGCCUGUGACGAAGCGUGAGUGACGGUAAUGGGUAAAGAAGCACCGGCUAACUACGUG